AUAAGCAGGGAUUCAUCCUGCGGUCCAAGGGGAUAAUUAGAGAAAAACUCAAAUACACAAUACUGAAAGGAAACAGUGAGGUUGAUCCUCAAACAUUAUUUAUAGGAGCAGAAUGUGUGGAGGACAAAUGUACAAAUGUUAUCAAAGUAUGGUACGCACAUGUUUAGUAUUGUAUAUAGCAUGUAAGCCACAAGUUAAUCGUCAAGUCUCAAGGAAGUCCAAAGACACUAGGGUGGAAUCAAGUCACGCCCCUGAUAGAAGUAAAGCAAGUCAAGUCUUUGCUUGGGUAAAGCAAGUCACAAUUUAUAGUAAUUCAUCCCUCGGACACACACACACACACACACACACACACACACACACACACACACACACACACACACACACACACACACACACACACACACACACACACACACACACACACACACACACACACACACACACACACACACACACACACACACCCAGUCCUCAAAUGUAUGACUCAAUUCAAGUAAUUUGACAUUUGAAGUCCCCCACCUCUGAUGUAUAGUAAUGUAUAUAGUAUGUUUAUUGAAUUUAUUUAUUUUAUUAAUAACCAGCUCCUUCCUCGCUAUGACUCAUGCUGCCAGUCAUCUUCAUGGUUUCUCACUUCUGACUCAUGCUGCUUCACGCCACCAAUUCAUGAUUAAAAAGGGGCCAAUAAAAGACCUUUGUCAGAAUCUUCCAUGUCCCACAUCGUUUCUAUAAUAACCUUCUCCUGGCUCUUUCAACAGAUCAACUGUUGAAACAUUCACUCUGUGUCUUCAGAUUCUACCUUAUUGAUCAGGGCUUCAGGAAACCCUCACGAGUGUGUCUUUAGACUCUACCUAACUGAUCAGGCCUUCAGGAAACCCUCAGCCUGUGUGUCUUUAGACUCUACCUUACUGAUCAGGCAUUCAAGAAACCCUCAGCCUGGGUCUUAAGACUCUACCUUACAGAUCAGGUCUCGAAGUUCAUUGGCCAUGAUGCCCUUCUUCAGGCUACGGUCUGCACUAGUGACCCGGAAGGGCUUGUGCGGAGGGGGUUUCGCUGCCAGGAGCUGCUGGGUCAUGGACGCACUGGCGGACAUGCUGGCCGUUACGUAUCUGGAGGAGUAAAACACAUUGCGAGAUUGUAAUGAUUUAGAACACAAGAGCCUGCCCAAGGCCGCAAUGAUUAUACAUAGUUAACGAUUGUAUUCAGUCUGUAGAAUAAUGGCAAACGUCUACAAUAAGCUUCCAGUCCCAAGUAUUUUCUCUGUUUAGGAUCUAGGCUUUUUACACUGCCUACAAGAAAACAUUAUACAUUAUAAAUUUCCCAAAUCAGAAAG
This is a long non-coding RNA of Gadus macrocephalus (Pacific cod), 1330 nucleotides long. RefSeq lists it as uncharacterized. The record is from RefSeq and is a predicted model, not a curated record. Lineage: Eukaryota; Metazoa; Chordata; Actinopteri; Gadiformes; Gadidae. The transcript is spliced from 2 exons.